GACGAACGCUGGCGGCGUGCUUAACACAUGCAAGUCGUACGGUAAGGCCCUUUCGGGGGUACACGAGUGGCGAACGGGUGAGUAACACGUGAGUAACCUUCCCACAACUUUGGGAUAACGCUAGGAAACUGGUGCUAAUACUGGAUAUGUGCUCCUGCUGCAUGGGGGGGGUUGGAAAGCUCCGGCGGUUGUGGAUGGACUCGCGGCCUAUCAGCUUGUUGGUGGGGUAGUGGCCUACCAAGGCGGCGACGGGUAGCCGGCCUGAGAGGGUGACCGGCCACAUUGGGACUGAGAUACGGCACAGACUCCUACGGGAGGAAGAAGUGGGGAAUAUUGCACAAGGGGCGCAAGCCUGAUGCAGCAACGCCGCGUGCGGGAUGACGGCCUUCGGGUUGUAAACCGCUUUCAGCAGGGACGAAGCUUUUUGUGACGGUACCUGCAGAAGAAGCACCGGCUAACUACGUG
RNAcentral lists this ribosomal RNA (465 nucleotides) under uncultured bacterium. Its description in RNAcentral is "partial 16S ribosomal RNA". It matches the Rfam family "Bacterial small subunit ribosomal RNA", at positions 28 to 507 of the family's 1533-position model. The record is from RNAcentral.